Molecule: ribosomal RNA, 348 nt
Filed under: uncultured bacterium
Lineage: Bacteria
Description: bacterial SSU rRNA
Rfam family: Bacterial small subunit ribosomal RNA
Source: RNAcentral
CUAAUACUGGAUAGGACUGCAUCCUGCAGUGGGGUGUGGUAGGAAAAGUCCUUUGGGUGGUGUGGGAUGUGCUCGCGGCCUAUCAGCUUGAUGGUGGGGUAGUGGCCUACCAUGGCUUUGACGGUAGCCGGCCUGAGAGGGUGACCGGUCACACUGGGACUGAGACACGGCCCAGACUCCUGCGGGAGGCAGCAGUGGGGAAUAUUGGACAAUGGGCGGAAGCCUGAUCCAGCAACGCCGCGUGAGGGAUGACGGCCUUCGGGUUGUAAACCUCUUUCGCUCAUGACGAAGUUCUGCUUUUUGGGUGGGGUGACGGUAGUGGGAGAAGAAGCACCGGCCAACUACGUG